RNAcentral lists this ribosomal RNA (253 nucleotides) under uncultured bacterium. Its description in RNAcentral is "partial 16S ribosomal RNA". It matches the Rfam family "Bacterial small subunit ribosomal RNA", at positions 524 to 776 of the family's 1533-position model. The record is from RNAcentral.
UACGGAGGGUGCAAGCGUUAUCCGGAUUCACUGGGUUUAAAGGGUGCGUAGGUGGGUAUGUAAGUCAGAGGUGAAAUCCCCGAGCUUAACUUGGGAACUGCCUUUGAUACUAUGUAUCUUGAAUGUCGUAGAGGUUAGCGGAAUAUGUCAUGUAGCGGUGAAAUGCUUAGAUAUGACAUAGAACACCAAUUGCGAAGGCAGCUGGCUAUACGAUUAUUGACACUGAGGCACGAAAGCGUGGGUAGCAAACAGG